AAGUUGUUGAGGGGUUUUGUGGCGGCUCUUUUAAAAGUUAAUUGGAGUGUGCGUAUAGAAACUUAUAUUUUUGUGGUUUUUUAACGUAUGUUUUUGAGCUAGGAUUUAUUUGGUCUCAGUUCUCUAAUGUGUGAGAUAGAUAAAAACUCAGUGCCAGCCAUCGCGGUUAAACCAGUUAUCUCUCUUUUACUUUGCUUAUAAGGUAAUCUCAUUCUAUAGAAGUGGAUUUGGUACCCAAUUAUAAAUGAGAGAUUAAUUGAGAAAGACUUAGGUUUAUAAUUUAAUAUUGGUUGGUGUGAAAUUUGUUUCAUGUUUGUGGAUUAGGAAUCGUUCUUUUUUUGUUAUUGUAAGGAGUGGAUAAAAAUUAAGUCACUAGGCGGUCUAGGGAUAUUUCACAGGGGAGUUUGCUUAUUAAAUUGAUGAUCCUCGUAAAGAUUUUUUUCCUUCUCUUAUGUGGUUGUGUAUGUCCGUUGACUUUUUGUAUUUUAAUAUUGUUAAAAGGGUAGGAAAACGCUAUAAUGUUUUGUUCUUUAUUUCAGGUCAACAUGCACUUAAGGUAGGGUAUAUAGUGAGCUACUUGUGAUGUUGUUAUUAUUAAAGUUGGAACUUGGAGUUUGAGGGAAAUAGGACUUGUGAGUAAAAAUAAAUUUUCUUUUUGUUGUUUUGAAUGGUAUUUAAGAACUUAGGAGUACUCACCGCCCGCUAUGUGAUUAUCAUAAAGGCGUAACAAGGUAGGCUUUCUAGAAAGAUGGCCUGGUACAGAAGG
This 766-nucleotide ribosomal RNA is filed under the name Rhodosoma turcicum. RNAcentral's name for it is "small ribosomal RNA". Lineage: Eukaryota; Metazoa; Chordata; Ascidiacea; Phlebobranchia; Corellidae. The record is from RNAcentral.